Hibiscus syriacus is the source of this 220-nucleotide long non-coding RNA. RefSeq lists it as uncharacterized. The transcript has 2 exons. The record is from RefSeq and is a predicted model, not a curated record. Lineage: Eukaryota; Viridiplantae; Streptophyta; Magnoliopsida; Malvales; Malvaceae.
UUGUUUUUGGAGGAAGAAAACUGGGAUAUGAGCUUAAUAGUAGAAGGAAUCAGAAAAAUUAAGAGCAUUUCAUGACAGCUGUUGAGUUCUCCAUGGAUCAUCCUUAUGGAAAAGCUGUAGCAUUGAUGAACUUCAAGUCUGGCAUUAUAGAGAUAAGUGAAGAAGAAUCACCCCAUGAUUAUAUUGGCUUUUCUACUUUCUCAAAGUUCAAGCAACAAUG